GCGGAGAUGGUGGAACUGGCAGACACGUACGUUUGAGGGGCGUAUGGCUCACGCCAUGCGGGUUCAAGUCCCGCUCUCCGCA
RNAcentral lists this transfer RNA (82 nucleotides) under bacterium ADurb.Bin243. RNAcentral describes it as "tRNA-Leu". It matches the Rfam family "tRNA". From Rfam's summary of the family: Transfer RNA (tRNA) molecules are approximately 80 nucleotides in length. Their secondary structure includes four short double-helical elements and three loops (D, anti-codon, and T loops). Further hydrogen bonds mediate the characteristic L-shaped molecular structure. tRNAs have two regions of fundamental functional importance: the anti-codon, which is responsible for specific mRNA codon recognition, and the 3' end, to which the tRNAs corresponding amino acid is attached (by aminoacyl-tRNA synthetases). tRNAs cope with the degeneracy of the genetic code in two manners: having more than one tRNA (with a specific anti-codon) for a particular amino acid; and 'wobble' base-pairing, i.e. permitting non-standard base-pairing at the 3rd anti-codon position. RNAcentral also lists the same sequence under 1 other name. The record is from RNAcentral.